This 118-nucleotide ribosomal RNA is filed under the name Peromyscus maniculatus bairdii (prairie deer mouse). Lineage: Eukaryota; Metazoa; Chordata; Mammalia; Rodentia; Cricetidae. The record is from RNAcentral.
CUCCAUGGCCAUAGCUCCCUGUCCGUGCUGACCUCAUCUGAUCUUGGAAGCUAGGCAGGGUCAUGCCUACACUGUACUUGGAUGACAGUUCAGCUUAUAAAAGAGGCAUGGUUGGCGA